Molecule: ribosomal RNA, 398 nt
Filed under: Macronectria jungneri
Lineage: Eukaryota; Fungi; Ascomycota; Sordariomycetes; Hypocreales; Nectriaceae
Description: SSU rRNA
Rfam family: Eukaryotic small subunit ribosomal RNA
Source: RNAcentral
UCGGUAGGGAUGUAUUUAUUAGAUUAAAAACCAAUGCCCUCCGGGGCUCCUUGGUGAUUCAUGAUAACUCCUCGAAUCGCAUGGCCUUGCGCCGGCGAUGGUUCAUUCAAAUUUCUUCCCUAUCAACUUUCGAUGUUUGGGUCUUGGCCAAACAUGGUUGCAACGGGUAACGGAGGGUUAGGGCUCGACCCCGGAGAAGGAGCCUGAGAAACGGCUACUACAUCCAAGGAAGGCAGCAGGCGCGCAAAUUACCCAAUCCCGACACGGGGAGGUAGUGACAAUAAAUACUGAUACAGGGCUCUUUUGGGUCUUGUAAUUGGAAUGAGUACAAUUUAAAUCCCUUAACGAGGAACAAUUGGAGGGCAAGUCUGGUGCCAGCAGCCGCGGUAAUUCCAGCU